GUGAGAACAGCAGAUUGGAAGGCACUGUCCAGCAGCCAAGCGAGAGCGUUGAAGCCCUUCCGAGAGCCCUGCAAGCCUCUGCCUCAGGUGGUGAACUUUCCCAGCAGCUGGACAUGGAGCCUGGAACAGGCAUGCAGCUCGAGGCCCCAAACCAGGCUUUGCAAGAAGAGCUGUCCACUCUGCUUGGGAAGUGUGAACAACUGGAGAAGAGCAAAUGUCAGCUGCAAGAAGAGGUGACAAAACUCCACCACCAUUUGGAGACUUUGGUGCUGGAUGGCAGCCAAAGAGAACAGUGUACAGGAGAGGUGGCAGAAGGAGCUGACCAGGAAAGAAGUGCAAAGCUACAAGAGGCACAGGCAGCCCACCAGGCCCCACUAGGACAAACUGGAGACAUUCAUUGUGAAUCCAUGAGAAUCCAGUUGGAAGAAAGAAUUAAAAAUCUGGAAAGGG
This is a long non-coding RNA of Pseudopipra pipra, 450 nucleotides long. RefSeq lists it as uncharacterized. The transcript has 3 exons. The record is from RefSeq and is a predicted model, not a curated record. NCBI's taxonomy places the organism in Eukaryota, Metazoa, Chordata, Aves, Passeriformes, Pipridae.